Long non-coding RNA from Brassica rapa (field mustard), 734 nucleotides. RefSeq lists it as uncharacterized. The record is from RefSeq and is a predicted model, not a curated record. NCBI's taxonomy places the organism in Eukaryota, Viridiplantae, Streptophyta, Magnoliopsida, Brassicales, Brassicaceae.
ACCACGGAGCCUGAGGACGAGAUGUAGAGUCGACUCCUUCUGGAUGUUGUAAUCGGCUAGGGUUCUCCCGUCCUCGAGCUGCUUUCCGGCGAAGAUGAGCCUCUGCUGAUCCGGAGGAAUACCCUCCUUGUCUUGAAUCUUGGCUUUAACAUUGUCGAUGGUGUCAGAGCUUUCCACCUCAAGGGUGAUCGUCUUUCCCGUGAGUGUCUUAACGAAGAUCUGCAUCUGGGUUGUAUUUAGAGAGAGAGAGAGAGAGAGAGAGAGAGAGAGAGAGAGAGAGCUGCUUACAUCUUCAUCAGUGUAGGAGUGCAAUGGAAAUAUGUCACCAUCGUCAAGACAAAUGCACAUAUUAAUCUACAUAAUAAGAGAUAACCAAGGGCAGUAAUGAGAUUCAUGACUCAGCUCAGUAAAAGUAUAAAAUAAAUAAGGAUAGAGCUAUCUAGUAUAUAUGGUAAUGAAGUCACUCGAAUGAGUGUUAAAAUAGAACAAAGCCAUAAACUUUCACAGAAUCUCCAAGAGCAAAAACAUUAAACUAAGACGGUUCAUAGUCAAGCUAAGUAACUCUGCACUUUGAAAAGAAACCCAUCAAGCAAAGUUUUCAAUUUUAUUCAGACAAGUGAUACGAUAACAUCUCAGGAUAACAAUGAGAAACCCUAAAUCAGACAAAAAAAUGAUACUUUCACAGAUCCCCUAACUUGAAAACCUUAAACGGAGAUUUCGUAAAAAGAAGAGAU